CCGUCCAUUAGGCUGAAUCUGAUGAUAAAAGGGGGUAGUCGUACACUAGACUACACUUCAGAAAUGUACCGUACACUAGGUAGCAUCUGAGGAGACGAAGGUCUAAUUGGGUCGUACAUUAGACCGUAUCUGAGCAGAAUGAGCCGUCCAUUAGGCUGAAUCUGAUGAUAAAAGGGGGUAGUCGUACACUAGACUACACUUCAGAAAUGUACCGUACACUAGGUAGCAUCUGAG
This 234-nucleotide long non-coding RNA is filed under the name Lathyrus oleraceus (garden pea). Its description in RNAcentral is "Pisum sativum (pea) long non-coding RNA (PSAT_LNC026941)". The record is from RNAcentral. Lineage: Eukaryota; Viridiplantae; Streptophyta; Magnoliopsida; Fabales; Fabaceae.